UGGCUACAUAGCUCAGUUGGUUAGAGCAUAGCAUUCAUAAUGCUGGGGUCCGGGGUUCAAGUCCCUGUGUAGCCACCAA
This 79-nucleotide transfer RNA is filed under the name Pseudomonas fluorescens A506. RNAcentral describes it as "tRNA-Met". It matches the Rfam family "tRNA". From Rfam's summary of the family: Transfer RNA (tRNA) molecules are approximately 80 nucleotides in length. Their secondary structure includes four short double-helical elements and three loops (D, anti-codon, and T loops). Lineage: Bacteria; Pseudomonadati; Pseudomonadota; Gammaproteobacteria; Pseudomonadales; Pseudomonadaceae. The record is from RNAcentral. RNAcentral also lists the same sequence under 2 other names.